RNAcentral lists this long non-coding RNA (1323 nucleotides) under Ovis aries (sheep). RNAcentral describes it as "lncRNA (ENSOARG00000025571.1)". The record is from RNAcentral. Lineage: Eukaryota; Metazoa; Chordata; Mammalia; Artiodactyla; Bovidae.
UGUAACUAGAAAUAUGCCUGCCCAGGGAAAAUUUAUGUUUCAUGGGCCCUCUUGAAACUAAUUUAGUCAUGCAGGUCAUAUAGUCAAGUUCUUGCCAGCAGAAUUUAAGCAGAUGUGAUGAGUUCUAAUUCUAGUUCUAAAGGUUAAAAUAUCAGGCAUCCCUGUCUCUGCCCCUUGUAAGAGCAUAGCUUUGAAUAUUUAGAUGAGAAAAAUGCCUAAGAGCAAGAAAAUUUAAAAAAUUGAGAAAACCCUGGACCUUAAGUGACUGCACGGACCAAACCUUUCUGCUGAUCUACAAUGUUUACUGCUGGAAGUUAUGUGAGUGAAAAAUAAACUUGUUUUCUUUAAACUCUGUAUUUUAGGGCCACAUUGUUAUAACAGCUUUGUCUUCACACUAACUAAAGCAUUCCUCAAUCUGAAGGAAUGUUUAACCCCUGAAACCACACCGCUGCUGCCAAGUCACUUCAGUCGUGACCAACUCUGUGUGACCCCAGAGACAGCAGCCUAUCAGGCUCCCCCGUUCCUGGGAUUCUCCAGACAAGAACACUGGAGUGGGUUGCCAUCUCCUUCUCCAAUGCAUGAAAGUAAAAAGUGAAAGUGAAGUUGCUCAGCCGUGUCUAACUCUUAGUGACCCCAAGGAAUGCAGCCUACCAGGUUCCUCCACCCAUGGGAUUUUCCAGGCAAGAGUACUGGAGUGGGGUGCAAUUGCCCUCUCUGAAACCACACCAGUUAUCUCAAAAAGACCUGACUCUGCUCGUCAAAGAAGUUGCUGAAACACCCACUUGAAGAAAACGCUGAAAAUGUCCUCGCUGAGAACACACCGGUGGCUCCAACUGUGCUUUCCCUUUUACAUGUACGUUUCACUGUGGAGUCUUCAAGGCGAAGAGAAUUCAAACAGCCCAAAUGCUUCUUAAUGAGGUCAAUGAGCUUCAAAACUCUUUGGAUUACCCCUGAAUUGUGAAGAUAAUUGAAUCAAUCUUUUGCCACUGAAUAACUUCCACGACUUCAAUUUAGAUACAUAAAGAAAUGUUUUUAAUGAUAAUAAAGUAUUUUUAACACUGAGAAAUUAGAUAAUCAGCAUAGAUAUGUCAUCUUUCACUACACAGUAUACAUUUUUCUCCUGAAACCUGAUAUCAAGAAGCCUUAACUCAUGCCAUAGAGCAUAAUGAAAACAGAAAGGAAAAGUACUAUUUUAUUAGUUUUAAUGAGUACAUAAUUUCCUUUAAUUAUGCUUUGUGGGAUUUUUUUUUGAAAUAGUAAAUGUACUUUUGAUUUUAUGUCAUCAAGAAAUAGGUUUAGUUUGACAUUUAAAGAAGUAUUCAG